This 589-nucleotide ribosomal RNA is filed under the name bacterium amp-w-72. RNAcentral's name for it is "bacterial SSU rRNA". It matches the Rfam family "Bacterial small subunit ribosomal RNA", at positions 52 to 634 of the family's 1533-position model. The record is from RNAcentral.
CACAUGCAGUCGAGCGGUAGAGAGAAGCUUGCUUCUCUUGAGAGCGGCGGACGGGUGAGUAAUGCCUAGGAAUCUGCCUGGUAGUGGGGGAUAACGUUCGGAAACGGACGCUAAUACCGCAUACGUCCUACGGGAGAAAGCAGGGGACCUUCGGGCCUUGCGCUAUCAGAUGAGCCUAGGUCGGAUUAGCUAGUUGGUGGGGUAAUGGCUCACCAAGGCGACGAUCCGUAACUGGUCUGAGAGGAUGAUCAGUCACACUGGAACUGAGACACGGUCCAGACUCCUACGGGAGGCAGCAGUGGGGAAUAUUGGACAAUGGGCGAAAGCCUGAUCCAGCCAUGCCGCGUGUGUGAAGAAGGUCUUCGGAUUGUAAAGCACUUUAAGUUGGGAGGAAGGGCCGUUACCUAAUACGUGAUGUUUUUGACGUUACCGACAGAAUAAGCACCGGCUAACUCUGUGCCAGCAGCCGCGGUAAUACAGAGGGGUGCAAGCGUUAAUCGGAAUUACUGGGGCGUAAAGCGCGCGUAGGUGGUUUGUUAAGUUGGAUGUGAAAUCCCCGGCCUCAACCUGGGAACCUGCAUUCAAAACU